UUACACACACAUACAAAGAAAAAUGUAAUAAACUUAUCUUAAUACUGAUUUGGGGAUAGAGGAGAACUCUUUCCUGAAAAUUUAUAACCAUAGCCUUUAUUAUGAGGAUUUUUGGAAAACAAAAUCAUAACAUUAAUGCAGAAUUCUUUUCAAGAAGGUUCAGAGUAAUAGUGUUCUUUAGUCUGUAGCACAGAGUGACACAAAUACCUAUGGAGGAAUAUACCUUCAAAGUAUACCUCAUGAUAAAAUUCCAAACAACAUGAUAUUAAAAAGAAAGACCUCAAAAUACUAUUGGAAAAAAGAAUCUAUAAGUUAGGAAACAACCAACAACAGAUUCAGAUAUCCUCUAAUAUAUGAUAUAAAAAUCACAUUUUAGCAUAUGUAAGAAAAAUGUAAUUUUUUAUGUUCAUAUAGAUAGAUAAAGGGAAAAUAUAAUAAAAUAUGUUGGUAUACAAUAGUGACCAAAUAUAUUUGAGAAUGAAUCAAAGCCAAAACUCAGUAUACAAUGUUGAAGAGAGAAUUAAUGAGUUGGAAGGUGCAUACAAAGAAGUUAUCCACAAUAAAACAGAUCAUGAAGUGGAAAUAUUGAAAAUAAGAUAGUAAAAAUGGUCAACAUAAAUGUCACUAGAGAUACAAAAGAAGAGAAAAUUGAGAGACAAUAUUUAAAAAGAUAAUAGCUAGCUAGAGAUUUUUCAGAAUUUGAUGAAAACACCGAUUUCGAGAUCCAGAGAAUUCCAAUCAAUCCCAAACAAAGUAAAGAAAAAGAACCUCACAUUUAAACUCCCUGGACUUAAAAAUCAGAUCAUCAGAGACAGAAAGAAGAUAAAAGCAGUCUGAAGGGAAAACAGGGGAAUAGAUCAUAUCAAAGGUGUAAGUAUUAUAUUGGCUUUCUAAUAGCGACAAUAGAAACCAGAAGAGAUAGAAUGAAGUAAUCAGUAUCCUGAUUAGAGAUAAUUUAUCUUAGAUUUAUAUAUUCAAUAAGUGUAUUUUUUUAAGAUCUCAAUAAUGCUUGAGAGAGUUAGCUUUAACAGACCUGCAAAAUGAAUACACUUGAGGAUACAGGAAAUAGGACUUAGAUGGAAGGACUAGUUCAGAAAAGAAUUGUUGGACACAGAAAUUGGCAAACAUCAAAGCAAGCAUUACGCAUAUGUAAAACUAAGUUAUGAACAUAAGUAAAACUAGUGAUACUAGCUAAUUGGUGAAAUCUUUGAAAAUUAUAGCUAAGUACUAUAAACAAGUACAUAUGUUUGGAAGGAUUAAUCAGAGCAUCUUACAUGGUCUUAUACAUCAUAGAAAUGAUGGUGAAGAUAACUCUUAAAGAGAUUUGUGUUAAUAAUAGUCACAUAACUUUAAAAUAUAGAAUUUCUAACUUCCCAGUUUGUAAAUAAAAAAGAAAAACAGAAAUGCAGGAAAACAUAAACAUUAAAUUCACAAAACAGCCAAAGCAAUCCUUAACAAAAACAACAAAGUUAGAGGCAUUAUAUGACCUAGAUUCAAAAUAUGCUAUAUAGCUCUGGUAAAUAAAGCAACAUGGCAUUGGCAUAAAAAUAAACAUAUACACCAAUGGAAUUGGUGCUGAGAAAUAAAUGUAUACAUUUAUGCUCAACUGAUUUUUGACAAAGGCACCAAGAACACACAAUAGGGAAAGAACAUUCUCUUCAAUGAAGGGUGCCAGGACAACUGGAUAUCCUUAUGCAGAGGAUGAAAUUAAACCCAUAUCUCUGACCAUAUAAAAAAUCCACUCAAAAUGGAUUAAAGACUUAAAUAUUUAAGACCUAAAACUGUAAAAUGCCAUAAGAAAAUGUACAGGAAAAGCUCCAUCACAUUGGCAUGGGUGGUGGUUUUUUAAAUGUAACCCCAAAUACACAGCAACAAAUGCACAAAUAGACAAAAUGGG
This 1897-nucleotide long non-coding RNA is filed under the name Marmota monax (woodchuck). The record is from RNAcentral. Lineage: Eukaryota; Metazoa; Chordata; Mammalia; Rodentia; Sciuridae.